This 500-nucleotide ribosomal RNA is filed under the name uncultured bacterium. RNAcentral describes it as "bacterial SSU rRNA". It matches the Rfam family "Bacterial small subunit ribosomal RNA", at positions 993 to 1505 of the family's 1533-position model. The record is from RNAcentral.
GACAGAUUUAGAAAUAGAUCCUCCUUCGGGCAAUUUUCAAGGUGCUGCAUGGUUGUCGUCAGCUCGUGCCGUGAGGUGUUAGGUUAAGUCCUGCAACGAGCGCAACCCCUGUCACUAGUUGCCAUCAUUCAGUUGGGGACUCUAGUGAGACUGCCUACGCAAGUAGAGAGGAAGGUGGGGAUGACGUCAAAUCAUCACGGCCCUUACGUCUUGGGCCACACACGUAAUACAAUGGCCGGUACAGAGGGCAGCUACACAGCGAUGUGAUGCAAAUCUCGAAAGCCGGUCUCAGUUCGGAUUGGAGUCUGCAACUCGACUCUAUGAAGCUGGAAUCGCUAGUAAUCGCGCAUCAGCCAUGGCGCGGUGAAUACGUUCCCGGGCCUUGUACACACCGCCCGUCAAGCCAUGGAAGUCUGGGGUACCUGAAGUCGGUGACCGUAACAGGAGCUGCCUAGGGUAAAACAGGUAACUAGGGCUAAGUCGUAACAAGGUAGCCGUAG